GCCUUUUUCUAGGGGAAAAGCAACCCGCGGCCUCCCACCGAAUUCUUCAUCAAUUUCCUCCUCUUUUUCCCCACGUCCGCAAAAGAGGUCUUCGCUCCCUUUCCCUCGGUUCCUUUCGAUGGCAGGGGGGUGGGGGGGCAUUUUCCACGGACGCCCCCGCCCCGGCUGCCGCCGCCCCUCCCGCCUCGGAGACUCUCUUCCUUCCUUCCCCCUUUUCCUUACGCAAUAUACAGAAAUGCGCGAGGCUGUGGUUGGUUUUCAUUUCUUCUUCGUGGUUGUGUGCAUGCGGUGGGAUUGUGAGAGUGCGUUCAUGAGAACUGUGGGCGGCGUUGGCUGCUUCUAAGUGUGGUCUUCUUGGCGACAGGCUCUGUGUCCGAGUGUGGUGUGCCUGCGCGGUUGGGGUGUGUAGAUGUGGACCCUUCGAGGCCCUUCUGCGUUUUCUUCGUUGCGUACGAUUGUGCUCCGUUGGUGUUCUCAGCAGGGAUCUGGUUCUGUGUGUGGGGGUGUGUGGCCCCUGCGACUGUGUUUGGGUGGUGUCGUCGUUAUGUCGGGCGUGUGUGAUCCCGACUGUGCUGGAUUGUGUGUCCGUGAGCCGCUGCGUUUGACUGAUUUCGUUGUGUCCUGUUGGGCAGUGUGCGGGGCUGACCAAGUCGGCUUCUGGGGCAGUGCUAGGUGGUGUUUGUUUGCUGCCCUUCUGUGGGGCUGGACCCUGUGUGGUCCUGUCCGCACUGAGUUGUAUGCCUGUGUGCCUGUGUCCUUUAGAGAGCGCAGCAGUUUGUCCCUUUUGGCUCCUUUGGCGGGAGAACAAAGCAGCGGGUUUUUUUCCGCUACAGCCGUUUUCUAAGUUGCUGGGUUUGAGGCAGGAAGAGAAAAUGGAGAGAGGCACGGACACAGAGACUUGGUCAUAAGGCAAACAUUAACCCCCAGCGAACACGCAACAUUAACCCCCCGCGAACACGCCGGGAAUGGAUGGAUUCCCCUCUUCUUUCCUCCCCUCCCCUCUUUUGGAUUAGAAGAGGAGAAAGAAAAUCUUCCGCAUUGUAUUGCAAUCCAGGGAAGAAUUAUUCCUAUAUGUCCACCAAAGCCGCGGCAAAUAGAAGGAGGCCUUCGCAGUUAAUCCAAGACUUCGAUGUGUGAUCAUAAGCCUGACGAUUUAGGCAAAACAAAUUAAACAAAAUCCACUAGGAAAAAAUAAAAGCAAGCUCAAUCCUGCUACAUCCUUGAAAGUAGUGUCGGGUUUGUUUUUACCUCCUUUCCUUUUACCUUGUUUAUUGCUGUAACAAAUCAUUAGAAUUUUCCCUUACUCUGUCUAAACCCCGAAAAAUCGAAAAUCAUUUCGUAGGGGUGGUGGAGGGGAAGGUGGGGGACUUUUCCCCUUUGUUUCUUUCUUUCCCCCUUUGUUGGUCUUUAUUUCCUUUUCUUUUUCUGUCUCUCUCUUCCUCUCUCUUUCUUCUUUCUCUUAAUCAGUAGGGAGACGAGAAAGGACCUGAACAGAUGAGAUAUCUCUCUCCAAGCCUCCUUCCCAACUCCAUUUCUGUAGGAAAGUACAGCCCCUGGAAUUGGGUUCUGGUUUCGCUUUGGGCUGGAGGUGGGUGGAUGGGGGUCAGAGAGAGAAUGAGGUGGGGGGGACUUCAAGGUUCUGUCCCACCGACCAGAGUCUGAAGACUAUUCGCCUUUCCCAACACGGACCUCUGCCCAUCCAGGCCCGGGACUAUCCCUUCGCGGUGUAGCGGCAGCCGGAGACCUGGCUGCGGAGGCAACCGCGUAGACACCUCCCUGCUUAGAAAACAAACACUGAACCAGACCGAUCCCAGUUGGAGGGUUCGAAAAUGUUCCAGACAGCCUGUCGGGAGGGGUUGUUGUUGCUGUUGGACUAAAUAGCUAUUCCUGAUUGGUCAUGUAUAGGGUUUUUUAAGGCGGGUGGGGGGAGGAGGGGGUAGAGGAAAGGCUCCAAACACCUGCAGGUUGGGGGCGGAAAGCUGUUUGCGAUUCCCUGGACUGGUUGGUUGGGGACAGGAGGUAAUUCCCAGCCAUUGACCCCCAUUUCUCUCUCUCCCUCCCUCUUGCCCUGCCUCUUUCUCUCCACCCCUAUCUUUCCUGGAAACUCGCUUUGGGCGCGGCAGAUCGCCCAGGACCACACCGCAGCGUAACUGCAGGCCUCUCAGCGAAAAAGGGGGAAAGCAAAGACCCGGGUCUGCAUCCUCUUCCUCGGCUUCCGCCCCUUUCCGGCGGAGUGGAGAUCCUAUUCAGAGGGGCCGGUCUCUCUAAAUAUGCCCCAGGAUGACCGAGCGGCCGCCGAGCGAGGCGGCUCGCAGUGACCCCCAGCUAGAGGGACGGGACGCGGCCGAGGCCAGCAUGGCCCCCCCGCACCUGGUCCUGCUGAACGGCGUCGCCAAGGAGACGAGCCGCGCGGCCCCAGCGGAGCCCCCAGUCAUCGAACUGGGCGCGCGCGGAGGCCCGGGGGGCGGCCCUGCCGGUGGGGGCGGCGCCGCGAGAGACUUAAAGGGCCGCGACGCGGCGACGGCCGAAGCGCGCCAUCGGGUGCCCACCACCGAGCUGUGCAGACCUCCCGGGCCCGCCCCGGCCCCCGCGCCCGCCUCGGUUACAGCGGAGCUGCCCGGCGACGGCCGCAUGGUGCAGCUGAGUCCUCCCGCGCUGGCUGCCCCCGCCGCCCCCGGCCGCGCGCUGCUCUACAGCCUCAGCCAGCCGCUGGCCUCUCUCGGCAGCGGGUUCUUUGGGGAGCCGGAUGCCUUCCCUAUGUUCACCACCAACAAUCGAGUGAAGAGGAGACCUUCCCCCUAUGAGAUGGAGAUUACUGAUGGUCCCCACACCAAAGUUGUGCGGCGUAUCUUCACCAACAGCCGGGAGCGAUGGCGGCAGCAGAAUGUGAACGGGGCCUUUGCCGAGCUCCGCAAGCUGAUCCCCACACAUCCCCCGGACAAGAAGCUCAGCAAGAAUGAGAUCCUCCGCCUGGCCAUGAAGUAUAUCAACUUCUUGGCCAAGCUGCUCAAUGACCAGGAGGAGGAGGGCACCCAGCGGGCCAAGACUGGCAAGGACCCUGUGGUGGGGGCUGGUGGGGGUGGAGGUGGGGGAGGGGGCGGCGCGCCCCCAGAUGACCUCCUGCAAGACGUGCUUUCCCCCAACUCCAGCUGCGGCAGCUCCCUGGAUGGGGCAGCCAGCCCGGACAGCUACACGGAGGAGCCCGCGCCCAAGCACACGGCCCGCAGCCUCCAUCCUGCCAUGCUGCCUGCCGCCGAUGGAGCCGGCCCUCGGUGAUGGGUCUGGGCCACCAGGCUCAGCCAGGAGGGCGUUCUUAGGCUGCUGGGAUGGUGGACUUCAGGGCAGGUGGGGUGAGAAUUGGGCGGCUCUGAAGCAAGGCGGUGGACUUGAACUUUCCUGGAUGUCUGAACUUUGGGAAGCCUUUACUGACCCUGGGGCUGGCUUUUCUGUUUCCUGUACCAGUAGGAGAUCAGAAAAAUGGAGCAAAGUGAAUCCAGUGUAGAGGGGACAGUUACUCCCAUUUUACAGAUGAGGAAUACUGAGGUCACAGAAGUGAUUUGCCCAAGGUCAAGUGGCUAAGAGAGAAGCCUAACUGAGAUUCCAUUCUGGACUGUUUGGAGAACCAGUACCCGUACCCUACAUCAGGUGAGCCCUUGAAUACUGCCAUGAUCACUAUAGACAGGCACUGCACAGUUCCAGGCUAUUAGGACAGGACUUCUCUGAGGGGAAAUCAGGGGAGGGCCCCAUAUACAGGGGGAGGGGUAGUUUGGCUCUGCAUUAUUUCAUGAGUUCCCUGAUUUAGGGGAGAUGCAAUGUCUCCUGACCCAGUCUCACUUAUGCAGAUGGUGGUCUGAUGAUAACAUCACCUGCCCCUGCCUGGCUCCCACACCCUUGCCAUCCCAUGACAAGAGUCCCCAAGACCCCUGCCUUUCCAAGACCGAGUAGAGCUACGGGACCAAGUUGGAAAACCCUUUCCCACCCUAUGCCUGGUGACAGCUCAGCCAGCUGAGCCGCAGGAGCCCAGAGUCCUCAGCCCUUCCCAGCUAACCCUCUGCGGCUUGGGACCUGUGGUGUUCCUGUGUCCCAGGCUCUGUGGGAUCUCGGAGGGGGCUGCGCCUUCUGCCCUCUGGCAGUUCCCACACGGGCUGGCUGAGGCUCCUACUCUCUGCACUCCGCCCCUCUCUCCAGCAAUCCCCUGGGAGCCACUGUGUUCAAUGGGCUAUCAGGCUUCCCCAUCACUCUCACGCCCCCCUCCAUUACCCCUGAAUAGGUGGGAUCCAGACCCACACAAGCACUCCCAGCCCCAAGUCCCCAGCCAAUCUUUCCCAGGAUCGCCUGGGACCUCACAGUUCUGAUGCACUACCUGCCUAGCUCUGCUCAAGACUCAAAGUCCUGGGCGGCUGGCACUCCAAGAGGCUGCCAUUCUAUUGUUUGGCAACAGCAUAUGCUAAAGCAGCAGUGUAAACUCAGCGCCAACACCCUCAGAUUGUAUGAUUCUGCUCAGCGAGCCUCAGAUGCCAAGAUUCUGCUCAGCGAGCCUAGUAGCAGGUAAAAGUUGGGAUCUCUAAGAUCUCAGUUUCCAUCACCCUAAGCACCGACAUUCAGGGAUUCUAUGUGUCUCCAGCGUCCUUUGGGUUUUUGGCCGCUGCAGCAGCUUCUGGCCACAAUACAAGGAGAGACCUACACGGGGUGGGGCAGGCAGGACAGGCGGUGGUUGCCUGGCUUGUUUUUUUGAGGGGAGGUGGGAGGCUGUUGGCCAUGGGCCCCUUUAGGGUCCACAUCUGCUGGGUUGGGGCUCAGCCAGAGCCUGGCUGGCUGGUCCAGUUGCCGGGCUGCAGAGGCGAGGAAGGGAGCCCGGCUGGCAGGCUGUGUGAUGCUAAUGAGGCAGGGAGGCGCGGCUUUUGUCCUGCACUUGUCCUUGCUGGAGGGUCCUCAGAGAGAGAGACAGGUCCCUCCUCAGACCCAAGUGGCUGUGAUUAGCCUUCAGUCACUCACUUUGAUGGCUCCCAGUGCUCUGAGGGGUGUGGACAGGGACUGGGGAGGGAAGGGAAGCAAGCCUGGUCCCGUGCCCAUCCCUGUGCUUUCCAGGGAGCGUCCAAAAAAACCGCACUGAGUCAAGACCAGAGUGACAACACUGCUCCAUCCUCUUCUCCCUGAAGGGCCCUCGAGCUCCCCAAGGGAUCCAGUGCAUCCUUUCUGACUUUCCAGCUCUGAGCCUUUGCCACACCUGAGAUGCCCUUUCUGUAGACUCCCACGCCAGGAGCAGGUUUUGGGUCAGACUCAGUCUCAGAUGCUGCAACUGCUGCUUCCCUCCACCCCGGGAACUGGGGCCUCUCCUAUUUCUGAAUGCACAGAGUCCCUGAGCUGUGUCUAGGUGCUACUCACCAUCCCCUGCAUUCGAGUUUUGGCCUCAUCGCCCUGUUUGUUCAUGAGCUGCUCAGUCCUGGGGCAACGUGUCACUGGUUGGUCGCUAAUGGUCCCAUCCUGCCCAGUGUGUGUGGGGCUCACCCACAGGAGGUGCUUAGUGAAUAUUUACUGGGUGAUCUCAUCAGACUCCAGGGUGGGCGAGCACAAAUGAAUCAUUAAAGUUUGUAAUGAUUCAUUGUACAGAUGGGGAGGGAUGUGACUUGUACAGGGCCACGCAGGGUGGUGAGUGACUUAGCACCCCCAGUGUCAGCUCCAGAUCUCUUCUAGAGCAGGGCAUCUCCAAGGUGAGUCCAGGGACACCCAAGAACUCCAAGGAGAAAACUCAACGGGACAUAAACCUAAAUGGGAAAAAUGUUACAUCUUUAUUUUCAUCACCCUGUGACUGAAACAUAGCUUUUCCUUCCAUUGUUAAUGUAGGCAGCAAAUCACAGCACUAGCAAAGAGUGUCUGCGACUUUCGUUACCAACAGAAAUUACAUCCCAGAUGAUAGAUUACCUUGAAAUAUUGUUCCCAAUCAUUAUUUUGAAAUUAUGGUUGGUAUUAGACCUGUUGCUAGAUCUUUUCAUUUAAUCCAUGAGUAAGGAGGCACACAUAUAAUUACAUCAUAAAAAUUUAAAAUAUCUUGACAAUUGUAUUUCAAUGCCUUUGAUUUUCAUUAUUCUAUGUAUUUUAUUUUAUGUGUUUAAGGCAUUAAUUUUUAAGGGGAUCAUAGACUCCACCACAGUGCCCCAGAGGUCCAUGGUACACAAGGCCAAAGCCUCUGCACAAAGGAGUGUCCUCGCUGACCCUCCAGCCCAGAGCUUGCAUCUUUCCCGGCUCCAUCUCUAGUCGGGAAGGGUUUGCAUCAUGCACUGGCAUCCUGAUUUUGCAGGAAUGUUGCAGGAGAGGUAGGCACCUGCUUGUGUGAUUGAAGGGGGCUUCAAUGCUCCAAUGUAGCCCCUUGGCAUGUCACUUUUAAAAUCAAUAUUUGUUGAGCACAUCACACAUGCCAGGUCCUGUUCUUUUUUUUUUUUUUUUUUUUUUUGAGACGGAGUCUCACUCUGUCACCCAGGCUGGAGUGCAGUGGCGUGAUCUUGGCUCACUGCAAGCCCCGCCUCCCGGGUUCACACCAUUCUGCUGCCUCAGCCUCCCGAGUAGCUGGGACUACAGGCACCCGCCACCACGCCUGGCUAAUUUUUUGUAUUCCCAGGUCCUGUUCUUAAAGCAAUGACCAGAAUAGAGCAAUGAAAAAGAAACAUUUUCUUUGGUGAAGUUUAUAUUCUGAGUGGAGAGACAGAUGAUAAAUAAGAAAAAUAAGUUAAAUAAUUAGUGGAUUGGAUGGGGAUAAAUGCCAAAGAGAAGAAUGAAGCUGGGAAAGGGAAUAGCGAGUGUGUGUGUGUGUGUGUGUGUGUGUGUUUUAGGGGGUUUUCAAUGAAGGGAGGGCCUUUUUUGGAAGUAAGCAAGAGGGUCUCGCAGAAUAGGGGUCACCGGAGUCAAGACCUGAAGGAGAUGAGGCAAUAAGCCAUGCAGAUAUUUGGGGAAAGAGUGUAAUGGAGGGGAACAGCUAGUGCAAGGGCCCUGAGGCUGCAGUGUGCCUGGCAUGGACUGGUUCAGGGCAGCAAGGAAGCAGGAAUGGCUGGAAUGAGGAGGGGAGGAGUGAGAGAUGGGUUGGAGAGGUACCACAUGGAGCCUCUAGUCCACAUAGGGACUUUGGCUUUUACUUUGGGUGGGAUGCAAUAACAUUGGAGGAUUUGUUUUAUUAUUCUUUUAUUUAUAUUUAUUUAUUUAUUUUUGAGACAGGGUCCCUCUCUGUUGCUCAGGUUGGAGUGCACUGGUGUAAUUAUAGCUCACUGCAGCCUUGAUCUCCCAGGCUCAAGCAAUCCUCCUCCCUCAGCCCACUGAGUAGCUGGAACCACAGGCAGGCGCCACCAUGCCUUUGGUUUUUAGUAGAGAUGAGGUCUCACUAUGUUGCCCAGGCUGGUCUCGAACUCCAGAGCUCAAGCAGUCCUCCAGCCUCGGCCUCUCAGAGUGCUGGGAUUAUAGGUGUGAGCCACUGCGCCUGGCCCCAUCAGAGGAUAUUGAAUAGGCAAGGGACUAAAUUUUCGAAAGAAUCUCUCUGGCUGUCAUGGUGAGAGCAGACAGAAUGGAGCAUAGCAAAAUUGGGGAGAUCAGUUAGGACACUAUUGUGAUAAGGCUAAUGAGCGAUAAGGGGCUUGGAUGUUGCAGCAAUGGAGGUGGUAAUAAGUAUUAUUAUAGAAGUCUAGAUAUAUUUAGAAAGAGCCAAGAGGAUCUACUGAUGGAUGCAGUGUGGAAAGCGUCAGAGGGAAACGUCAAAAUCAACUAUGAGAUCCUUCCUCUGAAUCGCUGGAGGGCCAGAACACCGCAUACUAAGCAGGAAGGCUGUGGGAGGAGCUGGUUUUCAGUGGGGUGAGCUCAGGAGCUCAGUUCAGGACAUCUUAUGUUUGAGACCCUGUCAGUGGAGUGGUCUGGGUUGGAAAUGUAACUUUGGGAGAGAUCUGCAUUUGGAUGGUGUAUAAUGCAGACAGGGCUGGGUCAUAGUGCUCAGUGAGCACUAUGCCAAGUGCUUUCUAGCACCUUCUCACCUCACUCCCCCAACAAACCCAAGAGGAGGGUGCUAUUAUCACCCCCAUUAUUUAGAUGGAUAAACUAAAACCCAAGGGGGCAAGGGACUCACUAAAGUCACACCACGAGGAAAAAGCAGAACCGGAUCCCAACUUAUAUGUGUCCCAUUUCAAAACUCAAGCUCUGUAACCCAUAUGUACUAUUGUAAUUUCUUCUUUUUUAUUUUAUUUUUAUUGAUACAUAAUAUUUGUACAUAUUUAUGGGGUACAUGUGAUUUUUGUUACAUGCAUAGGAUGUAUAAUGACCAAGGCAGGGUAUUUAGGACAUCCAUCACCUUGAGUAUUUGUCAUUUCUUUGUGUUGGGAGCAUUUCAAAUCCUCUUUUCUAGCUAUUUUUUUUUUUUUUGAAUCAGAGUUUGGCUCUUGUUGCCCAGGCUGGGGUGCAAUGGCACGAUCUUGGCUCACUGCAACCUCCACCCCCCAGAUUCAAGUGAUUCUCCUCCUCAGCCUCCCAAGUUGCUGGGAUUACAGGUGCCCACCACCACGUUCAGCUAAUUUUUGUAUUUUUAGUAGAGAUGGAGUUUCACCAUGUUGGCCAGGUUGGUCUCGAACUCCUGACCUCAGGUGAUCCACCAGCCCCGGCCUCCCAAGGAUGGUGUCAAUUUUUCUAAUUUGAGCAACCAGUUAUAUGGUGGUGCCAUUUACUGAGGAGCAUAGAACGACAGGGGGUACAAGGAGAGGAGCAGGCUUAGGGGAAAGAGUAAAUUCACCCUGGGUACGCUGAGCUUGAGAUGUCUGUGAAAUCAAGUGGAGAUGUUGACAACAUAGUUGGAUAUGCAGACUUGAAACUCUGCAGAAAUACCAAGCCUGUAAAUAUAGAUUUGGAAGUUAUCAACAUAGAAGUGGUAAUUUACAUCAUGGGAUUCACCCACCAAGAGGGUGUGGAAUGAGAAGUGGAACAAGAUUUCUGAGGAAUGCAGCAUCUCAAAGCUGGACAAGGCGAGAGAAACAGCUGGAGGAGACAGAAGGAGCAACCAGAGAAGGAGGAGAAGAGUGGGGAGGUGUGGAGUGCUGGAUAAUGGGGAAGACAGGGGUUCAAGGUGCUAGGAAGUGCUGGGAUUACAGGCUUGAACAACCAUGCCCGGCCGCUAUUUUGAAAUAUGCAAUACACCGUUGUUAGCUGUAGUCACCCUAUUCUGCUAUUGAACAGUAGAACUUAUUCCUUCUAUCUCACUGGAUGUUUGUACCCAUUAACCAACCUCUCUUCAUCCCACACACCUUUCUCAGCCUCUGGUAACUAUCAUUCUACUUUACCUGCAUAAGAUCAAUUUUUUUUAAGUUUCCAAAUAUGAAUAAGAACAUGAAAUAUCUGUUUUCCUGUAUCUGGCUUAUUUUACUUAACAUAAUGACCUCCAGUUCCAUUUAUGUUCCUGCAAAUGACAGGAUUUCACCCUUUUUUAUGGAUGAAUAGUAUUCCAUUGUGUAUAUUCACCAUAUUUUCUUUAUCCAUUCUUUCAUUGAUGGACACAAGUUGAUUCCAUGUCUUUGCUAUUGUGAAUAGUGCUGCAGUAAACACGAGGAUGCAUGUAUUUCUUUGAUAUACUGAUUUUUUUCCCUUUGGAUAAACACCCAAUAGUGGGCUCCCUGGAUGAUAUGGUAGUUCUGUUUUUAGUUUUUUGAGAAAUCUCCAUACUGUUUUCCAUAAACACUGUUCUAAUUUAUGUUCUCACCAAUAGUGUAUAAGAGUUCUCUUUUCUCUGCAUCCUUGCCAGCAUCUGUUAUUUUCUGUCUUUUUGAUAAUAGUCAUUCUAACUGGGGUAAGAUGAUAUCUCAUUGUGGUUUUGAUUUGCAUUUCCUUGAUGAUUAGUGAUGUUGAACGUUUUUUCAUAUGCCUGUUGGCCGUUAGUAUAUCUUCUUUUGAGAAAUGUCUAUUCAGAUCCUUUGCCCACUUUUUAAUGAUAUUGUUUCUUGUUUUGCUCCUGAGUUUCUUGUAUAUUCUGGAUAUAGUUCCUUGUUAAAUGACUACUUUGCAAAUAUUUUCUCCCAUUCUGUAGGUUGUCUCUUCACUUUUUUUUCUGUGGAUAAGCUUUCAAGUUUAAUAUAGUCCCAUUUACCUAUUUUUGUUUUAAUUGCCUGUUCUUUUGGGAUCUUAGCCAUAAAGUCUUUGCCUAGAUCGAUCAACCUGAAGUGUUUCUCCUGUGUUUUCUUCUAGUGCUUUUGCAGUUCUAGGCCUUACAUUUCAGUCUUUAAUCCAUCGUGAGUUGAUUUUUGUAUAUGGUGAGAGAUAGGAGUACAAUCUCAUUCUUCUGAAUAUAGAUGUCCAAUUUCCCCAGCACCAUUUAUUGAAGAGGGUAUCCUUUUCCCAAUGUAGGUUCCUGGCAUCCUUGUUGAAAAUCAGGUGACUAUAAAUAUAUGAAUUUAUUUCUGGGUUCUCUGUUCUGUUCCAUUGGUCUAUGUAUGUAUUUUUAUACCAAUACCACACAGUUUUGGUUGCUAUAGCUUUGUAAUAUAUUUUAAAGCCAAGUAGUGUAAUGUCUCCAGCUUUGUUCUUUUUGCUUAGGAUUGCUUUGGCUGUUUGGGCUCUUUUUUGGUCCCAUAUGAAUUUUAGAUUUUUUUUUAUUUCUGUGAAAAAUAUCUUGGUAUUUUGAUAGGGAUUGCAUUGAAUGUAUAAAUUACUUUCAAUUACUAUUGUCAUUUUAACAAUAUUAAUUCUUCCAAUCCAUGAGCAUAAGAUGUCUUUCCAUUUGUUUGUGUCCUCUUCAAUUUCUUUGAUGAGUAUUUUGUAGCUUACCUUGUAGAGGUCUUUUACUUCCUUAAAUUUAUUUCUAGGUAUUUUAUUUUAUUUUUUGUAGCUAUUAUAAAUGGGAUUGCCUUAUUGAUACAAUUUCUUCUUUUGUGCUCCUCCAUCCCACCUCCCUCCUCCUUUCCUUCCCUUCCUCCCUUCCUGCCUUCCCCCUCCCUUCCUGUUUUUUUUUUGUUUUGUUUUUUGGUUUUCAAGAUACUUACCUUUAGCUUUCAAGUAUUUUUGAAAGAGGUCAAAGUAUAGUUAGAGUGAACACUCAGCAUUUAUUUUUAUUUUUAUUUUUUGAGACGGAGUCUCCCUCCGUUGCCUAGGCUGGAGUGCAGUGGUGUGAUCUCGGCUCACAACCUUUGCCUCCCAGGUUCAAGCCAUCCUCCUGCCUCAGCCUCCCAAGUAGCUGGGAUUACAGAUGCGCGCCACCUUCCCCGGUUAGUUUUUGUAUUUUUAGUAGAGAUGGGGUUUCAUCGUGUUGGCCAGGCUGGUCUCGAACUCCUGACCUCAGGUGAUCCACCUGACUUGGCCUCCCAAGUACUGGGAUUACAGGCCUGAGCCACCACGCCCGGCCAACACUAAGCAUCUUUUAAAAUUGUCUUAAAUUUUUUAUUAUGGACAUUUUCAAACAUAUAUUAAAGUAGAGAAUAAUAAAUGGCAUGAAUCCAGUUUCAGCAAUUGUCAACAUGUGAGUAAUCUUGUUUUGCCUAUACUUCUAUCUGUCCCCAUGCUCCCUCUCCCCACAAUGGCUUAUUAUGAAGCAAAUCUCAAACUUCAUAUUAUUUCAUCUGUAAAUGUUACUAUCUUUAUUAGUUGUUUUAAUUAAAAAUUACUGAACAUCUAUCUGCUCUGUCAGGUUAUAUGCUAUGUUCUGAUAAAUUCUUAAUCAUCUUUCAAAGCUCAGUUCAAGUGUCACCUCUUCCUGGAAGCUUUCCCUGGUUUUCCCCUCUCCCAAAAGAACUUAAUGACUCCUUUCCUGGCAUUCAGAUCAUAUGCCUCCUUCACAGCGCUCACUGUUUAAUAGCAAUUAUUUUAAAUGUGAGGAGAUAGUAUAAUAUAAUGCUUAAGAGUUUUGGAAACAAAUAGACUUGGGUUAAAAUUUCAGUUUCUGCUUUGGAAUCAAAUAAACUUGGGUUAAAAGUCUGCUUUCUGAGCUUAAUUCCUUUGAACCUCCGUGUUCUUAUCAGUAAAAUGGGGAUAUAGCACUCACCUUAUAUUGUGGGGAAUAAAUGGGUUAUGAAUCCAAAGUACCUUGCACAGUGCCUGGCACAUAGUGGGCAUUCCUUCAAGAAGUUACAUGCUUCUCUCGCCACACUGUGCUGGAGGCAGGACCACAGCUGUCUCCUGUGUGUGUGCUGGCACGUGGAAGCCUCUGCGGAAGAGUGUGGGAGGGGAAGCCUCCAAUUACAGAAAGCAGGCAGACUGGGCCCUAGCAGCCCUGCCUGGCCGUGGACAGAUUCUCUGGCAAAGUGGGCCUCUGGUUCAACUUUUGGGCUAUUUAAAGGCAUUAGUAAAAAUCCGAAAAAUGACUUGAUUUUGUCUUUUAAUGCACACUUAUUUUGUUUAGUUGGAAACUACAAAUUUGUCCCUCCCCUCAACUAAAUAAUCUUUAUUAUAGAAACUCUGGAAAGAACAGAAAGAGAAGAAAAAAUCACAGAAUCAGCCCAGAUCACCCAUUUAUGUAUUAUUUUAUUUCCUUCUUCUUUUUAAAAAAAUUUGUUUUCCAUCUAUGAAAUUAUAAUUGCAUUUUGUUUACUUUUUGGUCCAUCUCCAGCUUUUUAAAGUCAUCUUCAUUUUGAGGGUUGAAGUCUGACCUUUCAAACAAAAGCUCCAAGUGUGAAAGGGUCCGAGGGUUUGGAUGUGGCUUCUUGACUGAGCAAGGGGUGUCCAAUGUGUGGCUGGCAAAACAUGCCUGCAACACCUCUCACUGCCCACCUCCUUCUGGAAGCUCAAGGUUUCUAUUCACAUACCUCUGGGAAUGGGAAGCUCACCACCUUUCAGGGUCAUCUCUGUCAUCACUAGACAGCUUUCU
This is an RNA transcript of Pan troglodytes (chimpanzee), 12811 nucleotides long. It is a transcript of the gene named TAL bHLH transcription factor 1, erythroid differentiation factor, with no coding region annotated. Lineage: Eukaryota; Metazoa; Chordata; Mammalia; Primates; Hominidae. The transcript is spliced from 6 exons. The record is from RefSeq and is a predicted model, not a curated record.